Molecule: ribosomal RNA, 253 nt
Filed under: uncultured bacterium
Lineage: Bacteria
Description: partial 16S ribosomal RNA
Rfam family: Bacterial small subunit ribosomal RNA
Source: RNAcentral
UACGGGGGGGGCAAGCGUUGUUCGGAAUUACUGGGCGUAAAGGGCGCGUAGGCGGCCUUCUAAGUCAGACGUGAAAUCCCACGGCUUAACCGUGGAACUGCGUCUGAUACUGGAGGGCUUGAAUCCGGGAGAGGGAUGUGGAAUUCCAGGUGUAGCGGUGAAAUGCGUAGAUAUCGGGAGGAACACCUGUGGCGAAAGCGGCUCACUGGACCACAACUGACGCUGAGGCGCGAAAGCUAGGGGAGCAAACAGG